GGCGAGGUGAGUAAUGUCUGGGAAACUGCCUGAUGGAGGGGGAUAACUACUGGAAACGGUAGCUAAUACCGCAUAACGUCGCAAGACCAAAGAGGGGGACCUUCGGGCCUCUUGCCAUCGGAUGUGCCCAGAUGGGAUUAGCUAGUAGGUGGGGUAACGGCUCACCUAGGCGACGAUCCCUAGCUGGUCUGAGAGGAUGACCAGCCACACUGGAACUGAGACACGGUCCAG
This 231-nucleotide ribosomal RNA is filed under the name uncultured bacterium. RNAcentral describes it as "partial 16S ribosomal RNA". It matches the Rfam family "Bacterial small subunit ribosomal RNA", at positions 105 to 334 of the family's 1533-position model. The record is from RNAcentral.